Molecule: ribosomal RNA, 251 nt
Filed under: uncultured bacterium
Lineage: Bacteria
Description: partial 16S ribosomal RNA
Rfam family: Bacterial small subunit ribosomal RNA
Source: RNAcentral
UACGUAGGGGCAAGCGUUGUCCGGAAUCAUUGGGCGUAAAGAGCGUGUAGGCGGCUCGGUAAGUCCGCUGUGAAAGUCCAGGGCUCAACCCUGGGAUGCCGGUGGAUACUGUCGAGCUCGAGUCCGGAAGAGGCGAGUGGAAUCCUGGUGUAGCGGUGAAAUGCGCAGAUAUCAGGAGGAACACCAAUGGCGAAGGCAGCUCGCUGGGACGUGACUGACGCUGAGACGCGAAAGCGUGGGGAGCAAACAGG